This is a long non-coding RNA of Oryctolagus cuniculus (rabbit), 1263 nucleotides long. Lineage: Eukaryota; Metazoa; Chordata; Mammalia; Lagomorpha; Leporidae. The record is from Ensembl.
AUGAGAACCCUGUGCCUCGCUUCCAGUAAGAAGGUAGAGCUUCGCUUGGGUGUCAGGACCCCAGAUGAGAAGCCUACACAUGGCUUUCAGUCUGAAGGUCGAGCUUCGUCUGUGUGUCAGGACACCAGAUGGGAAGCCAGCACCUGGCUUCACAUCUGGAGGUGGACCUUCUCUGGGGCAUUAGGCCACCAGAUGAGAAGCCUGCACCUGGCUUUCAGUCUGAAUGUGGAGCUCGGCUGGGUGUCAACACACCAGAUGAGAAGCCUGCACCUGGAUUUCAGUCUGCAGGUAGAUCUCACCAGGGUGUCAGGACACCAGAUGAGAAGCCUGCACCUGGUUUUCACUCUGAAGGUGGAGCUUCACCUGGGUGUCAGGACACCAGAUGAGAAUCCUGCACCUUGCUUUCCAUCUGAAGGUGGAGUUUCGCCUGGGUGUCACGGCAGCAGAUCAGAAGCCUACACCUAGCUUUCAGUCUGAAGGUGGAGCUUCACCUGGGAUUCAGGACGCCAGAUGAGAAACCAUCACCUUGGUUUCAUUCUGAAGGUGGAGCUUCGCCUAGUUGUCAGGACACCAGAUGAGAAGCCUGCACCUGGCUUUCAGUCUGAAGGGCGAGCUUAGCCUGGGAGUCAAGACGCCAGUUCAGAAGCCUGUACCUAGCUUUCCGUCUGAAUGUGGAGCUUUGCCUGGGUGUCAGAACACCAGAUCAGAAGUCUGCCGCUAGCUUCACAUCUGUAUGUGGAGGUUCGCCUGGGUGUCAGGACACCUGAUGAGAAGCCUGCACCUGGAUUUCAGUCUGAAUGUGGAGCUUCGCCUGGGUGUCAGGACAACCGAUGAGAAGCCUGCACCUGGCUUUCAGUCUGAAGGUGGAGCUUCGCCUGGAUGUCAGUACACCUGAUGGGAAGCCUGCCACCCGUUCACAUCUGAAGGUGGAGCUUCGCCUAGGUGUCAGAACACCAGAUGAGACCCCCGCACCUGGCUUCACAUCUUGAGUUGGAGCUUUGCCAGGGUGUCAGUAAACCAGAUGGGAAGCCUCCACCUCGCAUGACAUCAAAAGGUGGUACUUCGCCUGGGUGUCAGGACACCAGAUGAGAAGCCUGCACCUGGCUUUCAGUCUGAAGGUUGAGAUUACCCUGGGUGUCAGGACACCAUCUGAGAAACCUGCACCUCACUUUCCGUCUGAAUGUGGAGCUUCCCCCUGGGUGUCAGAACCCCCAGAUGUGAAAAUCUGCCCCCUAGCUUCACAUCUGAAUGGGGGAGGUUCGC